AUUGAACGCUGGCGGCAGGCCUAACACAUGCAAGUCGAGCGGAUGAAGGGAGCUUGCUCCUGGAUUCAGCGGCGGACGGGUGAGUAAUGCCUAGGAAUCUGCCUGGUAGUGGGGGAUAACGUCCGGAAACGGGCGCUAAUACCGCAUACGUCCUGAGGGAGAAAGUGGGGGAUCUUCGGACCUCACGCUAUCAGAUGAGCCUAGGUCGGAUUAGCUAGUUGGUGGGGUAAAGGCCUACCAAGGCGACGAUCCGUAACUGGUCUGAGAGGAUGAUCAGUCACACUGGAACUGAGACACGGUCCAGACUCCUGCGGGAGGCAGCAGUGGGGAAUAUUGGACAAUGGGCGAAAGCCUGAUCCAGCCAUGCCGCGUGUGUGAAGAAGGUCUUCGGAUUGUAAAGCACUUUAAGUUGGGAGGAAGGGCAGUAAGUUAAUACCUUGCUGUUUUGACGUUACCAACAGAAUAAGCACCGGCUAACUUCGU
RNAcentral lists this ribosomal RNA (483 nucleotides) under uncultured bacterium. RNAcentral describes it as "partial 16S ribosomal RNA". It matches the Rfam family "Bacterial small subunit ribosomal RNA", at positions 30 to 506 of the family's 1533-position model. The record is from RNAcentral.